AACGAACGCUGGCGGCAGGCCUAACACAUGCAAGUCGAGCGGUAAGGCCCUUUCGGGGGUACACGAGCGGCGAACGGGUGAGUAACGCGUGGGUGACCUGCCCUCAGCUCUGGGAUAAGCCUGGGAAACCGGGUCUAAUACCGGAUAUGACUCCAUGACGCAUGUUGUGGGGUGGAAAGCCUUGUGCGGCUGAGGAUGGGCCCGCGGCCUAUCAGCUUGUUGGUGGGGUGAUGGCCUACCAAGGCGACGACGGGUAGCCGGCCUGAGAGGGCGACCGGCCACACUGGGACUGAGACACGGCCCAGACUCCUACGGGAGGCAGCAGGUGGGGAAUCUUGCGCAAUGGGCGAAAGCCUGACGCAGCGACGCCGCGUGAGGGAUGA
Molecule: ribosomal RNA, 383 nt
Filed under: uncultured bacterium
Lineage: Bacteria
Description: bacterial SSU rRNA
Rfam family: Bacterial small subunit ribosomal RNA
Source: RNAcentral